AGAAUGAAAACAGCAGUAAUGAACAGGGACGAGGCAAAGACUUUUGUUAAGCUGCAUUGCUCAGAUCAUUUGCAGGAAGAAGAGAGAGAAAGAAAGGAAAAUCUGACAAUAUGGAGGUUACAAAGAAACAAAGAAAACUCUAAUAAUUAUUCUAAGUAGUUAUGAUUGUGGUGAACAAACAACACAACUGAAUACCAGAGCAAGACACCUGACACAUUUGGAGUAGCCCAAAAUCACAUGUUGGUGUUUCAUCUUCAUACAUGUUGCUUUUCAUUAAUCUAAAGGCACUCCACAGUCUCUCAACUCCUCAUGAAUUGAAAUGCCCAAAAGUUAGACUCGCUUUUAUUGUUAUCAUUUUUUUGCCAAAUAGCUUACGAUCCGACGGAAGUGGAUUGCGUUCACUUGAGAAAUGAAGGGCCAAUUUGUUUUACAGUUGUUUUCCUGAGGUGAAUUAAACUUCAGAAGAUAAUCAUCUCUAUGCAUUUCAUGUCCAAAAAUGCCUUUAUCAGGGACAAAGCAGACGUCCAGGAGUCGUUUUUUGAAUUACUCGCCUUGGCCCCAGCUACCAGGACCGCCAAUCAGCCAGGACUCACCAAGGAUAAAACCCCUCAAGGUGACUUUGAAAAUGGGAUAAGCCGACCAGAAAUUUCAGAUGCCAGCGAAAUAGUCCGCUAGUAAUAUUUAAAUAUUUAAAGUAAGUCAUUACAGCUACUGGGAGUCAGCGCCAAUCAGCCUGGACUCAGUCAAGGAGCAACGCUCAAACUAACAAAAAUCACCAGAGGUUACAAAGAAACAUGAAGGUUUUUAUUAAGGCACAACACUUGCUUCAUUUACAGAAAGGAAAUCUUUAUAAAGAUGUAGCAGUCAUUUAUUUCUGUGGUGAAUUUACAAAAACAAUUUAUGGGGCAGCAUAACUACUUUUCCACAAUUUGUUGUUGUAUACCUAUUACAUGAGUUUGCUUACUCCUCUUUUCAGAGAAGCAAGACAGGUUUCCAAUGUCAGAUAAAAGUAAGUUUCACGGGAAAGUUACUAAUAUAUUUUUGGAUUCAUAUCUAGAUUAAGUGUUCCUUUUGUCAUGCAAACUUUUUCUUAUGGAUGUAUUAGAUCAGCCUUUAUUUGUCUCACAGGUGAGAAAUUUCAAACAUUACAUGAAAUAAAGUAAAGUGAUAAGUGACAUUAAACAUAAUACUAACAAUAACAAAAAUUAUACAAUACUAAAAUGAAAAAGAAACUAUCUUUUUACAACUAUAAAACAAAUAACCAAAAAUGAAACAGUGCAAGAGAUGAUAUGCAUGUUAGCGUGCUUAUCCUUUAAAACAGAUAAAACUAAUUCCAAUCUUAAACAAUGCAACGUGACAUUGUGCAUAGAUUUGCACUCUGAGUUGUGAUUAUAAAGUCUCACGGAUGCAGGAAGAGAAGAUCUUCUGAAGCUCUCCUUCACGUUGAAGGAGCUGGUGGUCAUACCUCAGUAUUGUGAUAUUAUCUUUUAUAGGGUUAGAUUCUGACACAAUGUCUUUGUUGUCAUUAGGAUUCCAAAGAAAAGUGCUGAUGCAGCUUGUCGAAAUAAAAGAAGAAGUUAGAGGGAUUGCACAAAGGGUGGAACCAGACGUUGGCUGAGUCAAACUUUGUGGGUACGAAUAAAAAUGAUCUUAAGUUAUUAAAAUAGUUUUUUGUUCAUAGUAUUUAUAUUUAUUGUAUUUAUAAUAUUUUAUUUUUGUCAUUGACUUUUUGUCGUCAUGUUGUAUCUUAAGCUGUUAAAUUUUGUCUUUUUUUAACUAAAUAAAAAAUCUUUUAUUUGU
Molecule: long non-coding RNA, 1800 nt
Organism: Micropterus salmoides (largemouth bass)
Lineage: Eukaryota; Metazoa; Chordata; Actinopteri; Centrarchiformes; Centrarchidae
Exons: 2
Source: RefSeq, a predicted model, not a curated record